AUUGAACGCUGGCGGCAUGCUUUACACAUGCAAGUCGAACGGCAGCGCGGGCUUCGGCCUGGCGGCGAGUGGCGAACGGGUGAGUAAUGCAUCGGAACGUGCCCAGUAGUGGGGGAUAGCCCGGCGAAAGCCGGAUUAAUACCGCAUACGACCUGCGGGUGAAAGCGGGGGACCGAAAGGCCUCGCGCUAUUGGAGCGGCCGAUGUCGGAUUAGCUAGUUGGUGGGGUAAAGGCUUACCUAGGCGACGAUCCGUAGCUGGUCUGAGAGGACGACCGGCCACACUGGGACUGAGACAGGGCCCAGACUCCUACGGGAGGCAGCAGUGGGGAAUUUGGGACAAUGGGGGCAACCCUGAUCCAGCCAUGGCGCGUGCGAGAAGAAGGCCUUCGGGUUGUAAAGCGCGUUUGUUCGGGAAGAAAUCCUCUGGGCUAAUACCCCGGGGGGAUGACGGUACCGGAAGAAUAAGCACCGGCUAACUACGUG
Molecule: ribosomal RNA, 484 nt
Filed under: uncultured bacterium
Lineage: Bacteria
Description: partial 16S ribosomal RNA
Rfam family: Bacterial small subunit ribosomal RNA
Source: RNAcentral